Molecule: ribosomal RNA, 497 nt
Filed under: uncultured bacterium
Lineage: Bacteria
Description: partial 16S ribosomal RNA
Rfam family: Bacterial small subunit ribosomal RNA
Source: RNAcentral
GAUGAACGCUGGCGGCGUGCCUAAUACAUGCCAGUCGAGCGAACAGACGAGGAGCUUUCUCCUCUGACGUUAGCGGCGGACGGGUGAGUAACACGUGGAUAACCUACCUAUAAGACUGGGAUAACUUCGGGAAACCGGAGCUAAUACCGGAUAAUAUAUUGAACCGCAUGGUUCAAUAGUGAAAGACGGUUUUGCUGUCACUUAUAGAUGGAUCCGCGCCGCAUUAGCUAGUUGGUAAGGUAACGGCUUACCAAGGCGACGAUGCGUAGCCGACCUGAGAGGGUGAUCAGCCACACUGGAACUGAGACACGGUCCAGACUCCUACGGGAGGCAGCAGUAGGGAAUCUUCCACAAUGGGCGAAAGCCUGACGGAGCAACGCCGCGUGAGUGAUGAAGGUCUUCGGAUCGUAAAACUCUGUUAUUAGGGAAGAACAAAUGUGUGAGUAACUAUGCACGUCUUGACGGUACCUAAUCAGAAAGCCACGGCUAACUACGUG